This is a regulatory RNA element of Acholeplasma sp. CAG:878, 70 nucleotides long. The record is from Rfam. Lineage: Bacteria; Bacillati; Mycoplasmatota; Mollicutes; Acholeplasmatales; Acholeplasmataceae.
ACCUCUCUACAACCGCACAAAAAAGGUUAUAAACAUUUAAUGUACCUUAAUGGCGAGUCUGAGAUUAAAG